UACAAGUCAACGAAUUCACACGUGUGAACUUUUUCUCAAGAGUAUGUGGUCAAGAAAACCAAUUCUUGGUCUCUAAAUCAGCAGCCAGGAAGCUUCACCAAGUGUCUUUUAAAGUAGUGGUGUUGUAGCAUCAGACUGCAGACAGUGGUGCAGUGGCGGAGAGAGCUCAUUCUGUGUCCUCAGCAGGGAUUUAAACCCAGCCUUGGCUCCUGAUAUUUCUUCACUUUAGGAGCUGCUCUUUCUGAAACACUUUGAAGUUGAAGACAUCCUGAAUCUUCAAGACUGCAGCUUGAAGUUCCGUCCCCUGAGUGCACAGAGAGCAAUGCA
Long non-coding RNA from Asterias rubens (European starfish), 327 nucleotides. RefSeq lists it as uncharacterized. NCBI's taxonomy places the organism in Eukaryota, Metazoa, Echinodermata, Asteroidea, Forcipulatida, Asteriidae. The transcript has 3 exons. The record is from RefSeq and is a predicted model, not a curated record.